RNAcentral lists this ribosomal RNA (1506 nucleotides) under metagenome. Its description in RNAcentral is "bacterial SSU rRNA". It matches the Rfam family "Bacterial small subunit ribosomal RNA". The record is from RNAcentral.
AGAGUUUGAUCAUGGCUCAGGACGAACGCUGGCGGCGUGCCUAAUACAUGCAAGUAGAACGCUGAAGAGAGGAGCUUGCUCUUCUUGGAUGAGUUGCGAACGGGUGAGUAACGCGUAGGUAACCUGCCUUGUAGCGGGGGAUAACUAUUGGAAACGAUAGCUAAUACCGCAUAACAAUGGAUGACACAUGUCAUUUAUUUGAAAGGGGCAAUUGUUCCACUACAAGAUGGACCUGCGUUGUAUUAGCUAGUAGGUGAGGUAAUGGCUCACCUAGGCGACGAUACAUAGCCGACCUGAGAGGGUGAUCGGCCACACUGGGACUGAGACACGGCCCAGACUCCUACGGGAGGCAGCAGUAGGGAAUCCUCGGCAAUGGGGGCAACCCUGACCGAGCAACGCCGCGUGAGUGAAGAAGGUUUUCGGAUCGUAAAGCUCUGUUGUAAGUCAAGAACGGGUGUGAGAGUGGAAAGUUCACACUGUGACGGUAGCUUACCAGAAAGGGACGGCUAACUACGUGCCAGCAGCCGCGGUAAUACGUAGGUCCCGAGCGUUGUCCGGAUUUAUUGGGCGUAAAGCGAGCGCAGGCGGUUUGAUAAGUCUGAAGUUAAAGGCUGUGGCUCAACCAUAGAUCGCUUUGGAAACUGUCAAACUUGAGUGCAGAAGGGGAGAGUGGAAUUCCAUGUGUAGCGGUGAAAUGCGUAGAUAUAUGGAGGAACACCGGUGGCGAAAGCGGCUCUCUGGUCCGUAACUGACGCUGAGGCUCGAAAGCGUGGGGAGCGAACAGGAUUAGAUACCCUGGUAGUCCACGCCGUAAACGAUGAGUGCUAGGUGUUGGAUCCUUUCCGGGAUUCAGUGCCGCAGCUAACGCAUUAAGCACUCCGCCUGGGGAGUACGACCGCAAGGUUGAAACUCAAAGGAAUUGACGGGGGCCCGCACAAGCGGUGGAGCAUGUGGUUUAAUUCGAAGCAACGCGAAGAACCUUACCAGGUCUUGACAUCCCGAUGCUAUUUCUAGAGAUAGAAAGUUACUUCGGUACAUCGGUGACAGGUGGUGCAUGGUUGUCGUCAGCUCGUGUCGUGAGAUGUUGGGUUAAGUCCCGCAACGAGCGCAACCCCUAUUGUUAGUUGCCAUCAUUCAGUUGGGCACUCUAGCGAGACUGCCGGUAAUAAACCGGAGGAAGGUGGGGAUGACGUCAAAUCAUCAUGCCCCUUAUGACCUGGGCUGCACACGUGCUACAAUGGUUGGUACAACGAGUUGCGAGUCGGUGACGGCGAGCUAAUCUCUUAAAGCCAAUCUCAGUUCGGAUUGUAGGCUGCAACUCGCCUACAUGAAGUCGGAAUCGCUAGUAAUCGCGGAUCAGCACGCCGCGGUGAAUACGUUCCCGGGCCUUGUACACACCGCCCGUCACACCACGAGAGUUUGUAACACCCGCAGUCGGUGAGGUAACCUUUUGGAGCCAGCCGCCUAAGGUGGGACAGAUGAUUGGGGUGAAGUCGUAACAAGGUA